Molecule: long non-coding RNA, 3062 nt
Filed under: Sus scrofa (pig)
Lineage: Eukaryota; Metazoa; Chordata; Mammalia; Artiodactyla; Suidae
Description: lncRNA (ENSSSCG00035068017.1)
Source: RNAcentral
GGGCAGUGACUUCCGCCCCUAGGGAGCGACAGCUGUUCUUCCAGCUCUUUUCAGACAUGAGGCCAGGCAGUAUUUUCAGAUUAAAUAUCUAUUGAGAGAAUGAGUGAAAGAGCUAGCCAUCGCUAGCCUCCACCUGGUACCUGAUGAGAAGAUGACCCGUGGCUCCUAUUCAUGGCAGAGGAGAUUAGCAUCUCAAAGGGCCAGAAGGCAUGGGCUGGAGCUCUCUCAGCUUCUGCGAUUGGCUUCAAAAAUCUCUUCCUAUCAUUUUGGACUAAUGGCAUUUGUCAUCCAGUGAAGGUUAGUGAAACCAAUGUUUGAUAACCACCUCCUCCACCCUGACCCUUUGUGGAUGUGCCAAGAGGCAGCUGCAAAACCGGAUUCACAACAGAGGCCGUCAAGGAAAACACGAAAGAGAUUGUGGAGAUAGCAUAAAAGAUGGGGCCUGAAUGGUUGCAAGAUGUGGAUCUUGAAUUCAAGCGCUAAUGGACACCAGCCCCACCAGAGGAAUGAACGGAAGAUGGCUUGAUGGAGAUGAGUGCCCUGCCAGUGCCAGUGAUGAGGAAGAAGAUGAAGAAGCAGAGGCGGAAAACAAUUUGACAGUAGACAGUCCGGCAGAAGGAUGCUGACUCUUCAGGCCUGCUUUUGAUUUCUUUUACGAUAACAGGUUUUGGAACUAAAGCGGAUAGUGGAAGAUGGACUGGUACCCUAUGGAAAACAUUAGUUACACCAAGCAUGCCUGCCUCCCCUUCCACCUCCUUCUCCUCUUCCUCCUCUGUCACCCCCGAGUCAGCAAGACCAUCCCCUCCCCUUCCUCCUGAGCCUCCUCAGCAUGAAGACGAGGAGGAUGAAGACCUUAAUGACGAACCACUUCCACUUAAUGAACAGUAAAUAGUCAUCAGGCCUUGCAGUUAAGAAACUUAUCUGUUGUGUAUAUUACAUCACUGGGUGACAAUCUAAGACAUUCUUGUCUCAUCAUCAUCAUCACUAAGUAUUCAUUGUGUAGGACAUCAUGUGCAAGAGUCGUAGUGAGGAGUUGUUGUGGCCCAGCAGGUUGAGAACCCAACAUUAGUGUCCGUGAGGAUGUGGAUUUGAUCCUUGGCCUCACUUAGUGGGUUAAGGAUCUGCAAGCUGCAGCACAGGUCUCAGGUGUAGCUUGGAUCCAGUGUGGCUGUGGCUGUGGCAGAGGCCCGCAGCUGCAGCUCUGAUUCGACCCCUAGCCCGGGAACUUCCAUAUGUUGUAGGUUCAGCCUAAAAAAAAAUAAAGUAAGGCAAAGACGUGUAUUUAAGUGGAUGGCCUAUCUUAUCCUUACAUAGGCAUAAGGCAAGAGCUAUUUAAUAUAAAAUUAAUAAUGUUAGUUUUCUUACCGUUUUAUUGUUUUUUAAUUUUUUUGUCUUUUUAGGGCCACACCCGUGGCAUAUGGAGGGUCCCAGGCUAGGGGUCUAAUCCGAGCCGCAUCUGCGACCUACACCACAGCUCACGGCAACGUGGGAUCGUUAACCUCCUGAGCGAGGCCAGGGAUCCAACCCGAAACCUCGUGGUUCCUAGUUGGAUUCAUUUCUCCUGCGCCACGACAGGAACUCCUUCUUACUGUUUUAUAAUUUGGCUUUCAAAGAAUUAUAUUACCGUACGGAAUCUCUCUCUCUCAUAAUUGGGGAAACUGUAUCAGCCUAUCAUUACAGGUAAGUGGUUUUUAAAAAAUGUAACAAUGUUUCCAAUGCUGUAUUAUGACUAUGACUGUAAUACUGUAUGCCAUAAAAAUUUUAUAACAAUUCAUUUAUUAAUGUAUUGGCUAGGCUACUGUGAAGCUAUUGUACACUAGGCCACCAUAAAGCAAUCACAUUGCUGCUUCUUCAUUAACAAUGCAUGAAUCGUUAUACCUGUAAAUAACUGAAUUUCCUUUUCAUAUUAUCUUUUAUUUUUAUCUUUUAUUUUUAAAGUCUACUGUUAGUAAUACAUAUAACAUAUAGAGUUUUGUAUUAUAUAUGACAAUUUGAUGUAAGUACUGACAGACAAUUCAUCUUGUGAACAGACAACAUAAACUUACAGUAUUGGUAAAUGUAUUUUCCUUAUGACUUUCUUUUUAUAGCCACAUCUGCCACACAUAGAAGAUUCCCAGCCAGGAGUUGAUUUGGAGCUGCAGCUGUGGCUUAUGCCACAGCCACAUGGCAACAUGGAUCUGAGCCUCGUUUGAGCUUUUGGCAUUGCCAGAACAUUAACCCACUGAGUGAGGCCAGGGAUUGAACCCACAUCCUCACAAAGACAAUGUUGGGUCCUUAACCCACUGAGCCACAGUGGGAGCUCCCCUUAUGAUUUUUUCUUUUUCUUUUCUUUUUUCUUUUCUUUUCUCUUCUCUUCUCUUCUCUUCUCUUCUCUUCUUUUCUUUCUUUCUUUCUUUCUUUCUUUCUUUCUUUCUUUCUUUCUUUCUCUCUCUCUCUCUCUCUCUCUCUCUCUUUUCCUUCCUUCCUUCCUUCCUUCCUUCCUUCCUUCCUUCCUUCCUUCCUUCCUUCCUUCCCUUUCUUGUUUGCAUGUACCUGAGGCGUAUGGAGGUUUCCAGCUAGGGGUCGAACCCGAGCUGUAGCUGCUGGCCUACACCACAGCCACAGCAAUGCCAGAUCUGAGCCAUGUCUGUGACCUACACCAUAGCUCACAGCAAUGCUGGAUCCUUAACCCACUGAGUGAGGCCAGGGAUCAAACAUGCAUCCUCAUGGAUCCUAGUCAGAUUUGUUUCCACUGUGCCAUGACGGGAACUCCCCCCCUUAUGAUUUUCUUAAUAACAUUUUAUUUUCUCUAGCUUACUUUAUUGUAAGAAUACAGUAUAUAGUAUAUAUAACAUAUCGAAUGUGUGUUAAUUGACUGUUUAUGUUAUCAGUAAGGCUUCUGGUCAACAGUAGGCUGUUAGUAAGUUUUGAGGGGGGGAGUCAGGAGUGACUUGUGAAUUUUUGACCUCAUAAGGGGUCAGGGCCUCUAAGCCCUGUGUUGCUCGUGCAUAAGCUGUAUGUGUCCUUGACAGUUGUAAUUAAAGAGGCAAAAAAAAAAAAAAAAAAAAAAAAAAAAAAAAAAA